RNAcentral lists this transfer RNA (68 nucleotides) under Andoa berthelotiana. RNAcentral's name for it is "partial tRNA-Leu". It matches the Rfam family "tRNA", at positions 17 to 71 of the family's 71-position model. Rfam says of the family: Transfer RNA (tRNA) molecules are approximately 80 nucleotides in length. Their secondary structure includes four short double-helical elements and three loops (D, anti-codon, and T loops). The record is from RNAcentral. Lineage: Eukaryota; Viridiplantae; Streptophyta; Bryopsida; Hypnales; Myuriaceae.
GGUAGACGCUGCGGACUUAAAAUCCGUUGGCUUUAUUGACCGUGAGGGUUCAAGUCCCUCUACCCCCA